ACGGGUGAGUAACGCGUGGGCAACCUGCCUGUUACAGGGGGAUAACACAGGGAAACUUGUGCUAAUACCGCAUAACACAACGAGGUAGCAUUACCUUGUUGUCAAAGGAGUAAUCCGGUGACAGAUGGGCCCGCGUCCAAUUAGCUAGUUGGUGAUGUAACGGACCACCAAGGCGACGAUUGGUAGCCGAACUGAGAGGUUGAUCGGCCACAUUGGGACUGAGACACGGCCCAGACUCCUACGGGAGGCAGCAGUGGGGAAUAUUGCACAAUGGGGGAAACCCUGAUGCAGCAACGCCGCGUGAAGGAUGAAGGUUUUCGGAUUGUAAACUUCUUUAGUCAGGGACGAAUAAAUGACGGUACCUGAAGAAUAAGCCACGGCUAACUACGUGCCAGCAGCCGCGGUAAUACGUAGGUGGCGAGCGUUGUCCGGAAUUACUGGGUGUAAAGGGCGUGUAGGCGGGAAUGUAAGUCAGAUGUGAAAUCCCAGGGCUUAACUCUGGAGCUGCAUCUGAAACUAUGUUUCUUGAGUGCCGGAGAGG
This 541-nucleotide ribosomal RNA is filed under the name uncultured bacterium. RNAcentral describes it as "bacterial SSU rRNA". It matches the Rfam family "Bacterial small subunit ribosomal RNA", at positions 102 to 657 of the family's 1533-position model. The record is from RNAcentral.